This is a long non-coding RNA of Bactrocera tryoni, 980 nucleotides long. RefSeq lists it as uncharacterized. The transcript is spliced from 2 exons. The record is from RefSeq and is a predicted model, not a curated record. Lineage: Eukaryota; Metazoa; Arthropoda; Insecta; Diptera; Tephritidae.
CAAUAUAUUCAAAUAGGUUGGGCUUACACAUUUCUGGUCGGAACAGCGUUUUCCAUGUUUAACAUAAAUAAAACACACUAAGAUACGUAUAUAUAAUCACUUUCCUUUAUUUAAACUACAUAAUAUUGCAAUGUCACUACUUUUGUUGCCAUUACAUUUGUUGUCGUUACGUCGUGAAGUUGCUGUUGUCUAAGUGUUCAAUGCAUAAUGAUCGUUUGACAUCACUUUAUCAGCUGUUUGUGAAUAAGGAAAACGCUUUUGUAAAAAAUUUGAUAAUGUCGGAUGAAGUAGAGCCAAUAAAAAAAAGAGGUUAACUGCGUUUUCAUCAAGAUGGCUAGAAAUACCAAACUUUGCUUCGUGGUUAAAAAAAAAGAUGAGUACACUUCUUUGUGCAAAUUGUGCUUGGUUGAUAUUACAAUUAAAUAUGAAGCCGUCAGAGGAUUGGAGAAACAUUCACGUACAAAAAGACAUCAAAAUAUUGUAAAGACUAACCAAAUUUCUGGAAGCGUGAGCAAAUUUAUGUUAAGAGAAUCAACAAAUACUGAAGAAAUACUUUUCGCGAAACUUGAGCUUUUAACCAUUUUCCACAAUACUAAGCAUGGAUUAUAUAUUGGAUAUAAUAGCCUAGAUUGCCAUAGUAAGCUUGAGAAAAGUAUUUUUCCCGAUAGUAAAAUUGCAGCAAAAAUAACUUGUGGUCGUACAAAAAGUUCUGCUAUCGCACGAAAUGUUUUGGGACCAUUUGCGCAAGAGCAAGUAGUUUUGGAUUUAAAAAAGUGUUAUUAUUUUGCUAUUGGAAACGAUGCAGCAAGCUUUGGCAAUGUUAAAUAUUUUGCAUAUACUGUUCAAUAUUUUGAUUCUAAAAGUGGUAUUUGUAAAAAGAUCUUGGAUUUUUAUGAAGACGAUAACUCCAAGUCGAUUGAUAUAUGUAUAUAACAAAAUCGAGCAAAUAAAUGACAAUUUUCAUCUGAGUAUUGAUCAAA